UGGGGAAUAUUGGACAAUGGACCAAAAGUCUGAUCCAGCAAUUCUGUGUGCACGAUGACGUUUUUCGGAAUGUAAAGUGCUUUCAGUUGGGAAGAAAAAAAUGACGGUACCAACAGAAGAAGUGACGGCUAAAUACGUGCCAGCAGCCGCGGUAAUACGUAUGUCACAAGCGUUAUCCGGAUUUAUUGGGCGUAAAGCGCGUCUAGGUGGUUAUGUAAGUCUGAUGUGAAAAUGCAGGGCUCAACUCUGUAUUGCGUUGGAAACUGUGUAACUAGAGUACUGGAGAGGUAAGCGGAACUACAAGUGUAGAGGUGAAAUUCGUAGAUAUUUGUAGGAAUGCCGAUGGGGAAGCCAGCUUACUGGACAGAUACUGACGCUAAAGCGCGAAAGCGUGGGUAGCAAACAGGAUUAGAUACCCUGGUAGUCCACGCCGUAAACGAUGAUUACUAGGUGUUGGGGGUCGAACCUCAGCGCCCAAGCAAACGCGAUAAGUAAUCCGCCUGGGGAGUACGUACGCAAGUAUG
RNAcentral lists this ribosomal RNA (524 nucleotides) under uncultured bacterium. RNAcentral's name for it is "bacterial SSU rRNA". It matches the Rfam family "Bacterial small subunit ribosomal RNA", at positions 355 to 896 of the family's 1533-position model. The record is from RNAcentral.